CCCUUUAUAUAUGAUGUUUUGAGAUGUUCCUCCUUUUUCCCAAUUUAAAAUCAUUUAUUUUGUUUCCUAACAAAUCAUUUAUUUUAUCAAUUUACUAGAAAAAUGAGUCCUAAAAAGGCAUUUGCAUUGCACCUUACCCAGCCUGCCUUGCAGUUUUAGCUUUCAACCAUUGACUUAACCCCUUUCCCUAUGUACCACUGUUUCCCAUCACCACUGUGCUCCACCAUAGAACUGGCAAUUUCAGUCAACACAUUUUAAUCAGUAUAUCACUUAUAUUUCAGUUGGGUAAAUAUGGACUUCAGUCUAUUUUUAACCCAUUACGAACUCACUUUUGUAAUACCAAAGAAAGGUUCCAACCCCGAAAGCUUUUAUGGCCAGGAAAUGCUUCAAUCGUAGAACUACCUUUUCUACAUUUAUUUUAUGUUUUUUCUUUUUGUUAGACUUCUUUUCUUAAUUCGGUUAGUCCCUUGAAAUCCUUAGAAUUUUUUUGUUACAAAUUUGUCCAACUGUUUGUGAUUUUGUUUGUUGUUCCUUUUUAGGCUAAUUACCAAUUUUUCACAUGUAAUAACAGUGAUAGUUUUUUGAGAUUUUGUUUUUCUUCCCCUAAAUAUUCCACAAGUGAAAAGAAUCACUUACUCAAUUUGUUGUUUCCUAUUAAAUAAUUACUUUCUUCUUGAAAAUUCUUUUGACGUGUUUAUGCAAGUCGAGCUUUAUCAUAACCUUGCACAUAAAACCAAGCUAAGGAGUUCGUAGACGUUUCGUCGAGUCACUAAUUUGGAGGCAUGAAUAAAGAGUUGAAGUGCAAGAACAAGUUAAAAUGGAAGUACACAACUCCACGUGGAGUAGGGAGAAAGGGGCUAUGUUGUGGAUGCGAGGAAGUCAAUUAAGUAUUUGAUUAUAUUUUUUAAGUAGAUUUAUUUAUAAUUUAAGUAGCUUUAUUUAUUAUUCUAGAAUAGGGUUUUAUUUUCAUAAAGAUUAGGUUAAGCUAUUAGUUUGAAAUAGGAUUUAGGUUUCCUACUUUCACAAGGAUUAAACUUCUGACUCUUAUUGAAAGGAGUCUUUGAGAAAUAAAUCAACAAGUCAUAAGUGAAGUGCAAGAGAUCAGAGUUCUCUCUUCCAUUGAACUCUAAGGUUUUAGUCUCUCUUUGAAGAGCUGAAGAGCUCAGAGUUCUCUUUUAUUGAACUCUAAGGUUUCAGUCUCCCUUUAACUAGCUGAAUUUAUAUAUCGCCCUGUGAAUAAUUUUUCCCUAUAUGCAUUAAAUUGUUCAAAGGGAACAAACAAAAUGUAUAGCAGCAACCCAUAGGACCUGAAACCUAUUUACUUUUUGUUUGUUCCCUUUAAACAAUUGAAUACAUAUACGGAAGAAUUGAUUCACAGGGCAAUAUAUAAAUUCAGCUCAUAAAGGCUGAAACCUUAGAGUUCAAUAAAAGAGAGAACUAUGAUCUCUUCAACUCUUCAAAAGGAGACUCAAACCUUAAAGUCCCAUGGAAGAGAGAACUCUGAUCUCUUGCAUUUUGCUGAAAUAUAGCUUGUUGGUUUAAUCCGCAGGAACUCCUUUAAACAAGAGUUUUAUUACAACAAUAGGAAGUUUAAUCGUUAUGAAAAUAGGAAACCUAAAUCCUAUUUCAAACUAAUAACUAUAGCUUAACCUAAUCCUUAUGAAGCUAUAGAAUAAUAAAUAAAGUCACUUAAAUUAUAAAUAAAUCUACAAAAGAAAAUAUAGUCAAAUGCUAAAUUAAUUGACUUCCUCGUAUCCACAACAAGCUAUGUUAUACAAAGAAGUUAUUCUUAAAAUACAAGCCCUUGUGCGGUUGUGCCUAAGAAGACUAAGAAGGUCGUUCUUUCAUUAAGGGUAUUUUUGUAAUAUCUUAUCUUAGACUAUAAAGAGUUGAGACCAGCUCAUUUAGACUUGGAUCAUUUUGGAUAUUGGUUUUGAUGAGUGACUAGAUGGGUAGGCUCCAAGGCUCGGGAGGUCGACGGGUUUAAGUUGUGGUACUCAGGAGGCUCAAGGGAUAGAAAUGGAGUGGGUAUUUUAGUAGAUGGGAAUUUGAGGGAGCAAGUGGUGGAGGUUAGGAGGAUCAAUGAUAGGUUGAUGACGAUUAAGCUAGUCAUUGGAGGAUGUACUUUGAGUGUUAUUAGUGCUUAUGCACCUCAAGUGGGCUUGGACGAGGAGGCCAAAAAGCUCUUUUAUGAGGAUUUGGAUGAGGUAGUUAGAGGUAUACCGAACACUGAGAAAAUUGUCAUUGGUGGAGAUUUUAAUGGCCAUAUUGGGGCAACUUCUAGUGGCUUUGAUGAUGUUCAUGGAGGCUUUGGUUUUGGGGAGAGAAAUGGAGGUGGAACUUCGCUUCUAGAUUUUGCUAAAGCUUUUGAGUUGGUGAUUGCUAACUCAUGCUUUCCGAAGAAAGAGAACCACUUGGUCACCUUUCGUAGCUCGGUAGCUAAGACUCAGAUAGAUUACUUACUCCUUAGGAAGGGUGAUAGAGGUCUCUUUAAGGACUGCAAGGUCAUCCCGAGUGAAAAUCUUACUACCCAGCACAAGCUUUUAGUGAUGGACCUGGAAAUUAAGAGGGUUAGGAGGAAGAAGAUUGUAUCUGAUCGACCGAGGAUUAAAUGGGGUGGCUUGACACCUGCCCUUUCUCGGGAGAUAGGUGAGAAGUUGAUUGGGAUGGGGGCUUGGAGUGGUAGCGGGGAUGCGGACACCAUGUGGAAGAAAGCAGCUAGUUGCAUUAGGGAAGUUGCUUCUGAGAUGUUGGGGGUAUCAAGGGGUAAAUUUGGGGGCCAUAAAGGAGAUUGGUGGUGGAAUGGGGAAGUCCAAGGCAAAGUGGAAGCGAAGAAGGCUGCAUACACAAAGUUGGUGGAGUGCGUAGAUGAGGAAGAGAAGCGGAUGCUUAAGAAAGUUUAUAAGACGACAAAGACAGAAGCUAAGUUAGCAGUUUCGAAGGCUAAGACGGCAGCUUUCGAACGCUUGUAUGUUGAGCUGGGGGACAAAGGUGGAGAUAAGAAAUUGUAUAGGCUCGCAAAAGCAAGAGAGAGGAAGGCUCGCGACUUGGAUCAAGUGAAGUGUAUCAAAGAUGAGGAAGGCAAGGUAUUGGUGGAAGAGACCUCCAUCAAGCAAAGAUGGCGAAGAUACUUUCACAAACUUUUAAAUGAAGACGGGGAAGGAGACAUUGUGUUGGGUGAUUUGGCGCACUCUGAAAGACUUCGAGAUUUUGGGUACUGUAGGUGCUUUAGGAUCGAGGAGGUUAUACGGGCUAUUAGUAGGAUGAGCAGGGGAAAAGCGACCGGUCCCGAUGAGAUCCCGGUGGAGUUUUGGAAGAGCACGGACAAGGCAAGCAUAGAGUGGUUAACCGGGUUGUUUAAUGUUAUUCUUAAGACAGCAAAGAUGCCUGAUGAAUGGAGAUGGAGUACAAUGGUUCCGUUGUAUAAAAACAAGGGUGAUAUCCAAAACUGUAACAACUAUAGGGGUAUCAAAUUGCUAAGCCAUACUAUGAAGAUUUGGGAGAGAGUGGUGGAGAUGAGGGUGAGAAGAGGGGUGUCCAUCUCUGAGAAUCAGUUUGGAUUCAUGCCGGGACGAUCGACUACCGAAGCCAUCCAUCUGAUGCGAAGACUGGUAGAAAAAUAUAGAGAAAGGAAGAGAGACCUUCAUAUGGUGUUUAUUGACCUUGAAAAGGCAUAUGACAAGGUGCCAAGGAAUGUCCUCUGGAGGUGCUUGGAGGCUAAAGGUGUCCCGAUGAUUUAUAUUAGGGCGAUAAAGGACAUGUACGGUGGAGCCAAGACUCGGGUUAGAACGGUUGGAGGAGACUCGGAACAUUUCCCAGUUGAGAUGGGGUUGCACCAGGGAUCAGUCCUUAGCCCUUUUCUAUUUGCUUUGGUGAUGGAUGAGUUGACGCGGUCCAUUCAGGAGAAUGUCCCAUGGUGUAUGUUAUUUGCGGAUGACAUAGUACUGAUUGAUGAGACGCGGGACAGAGUUAAUGCGAGGUUGGAGGUGUGGAGACAAACGCUGGAGUCCAAAGGGUUCAGGUUGAGUAGGACCAAAACAGAAUAUUUGGGGUGCAAAUUCAGUGAUGCAUUGGAUGAGGCAGAUGUGGAUGUGAGACUUGCCACACAGAUCAUUCCUAAGAAAGAAAGUUUUAAGUAUCUUGGGUCUGUAAUCCAAGAAAGUGGUGACAUCGACGAUGAUGUCACACAUCGCAUUGGGGCUGCUUGGAUGAAAUGGAGGCUUGCCUCUGGAGUCUUGUGUGAUAAGAAAAUCCCGCCUAAACUUAAAGGUAAGUUCUACAGAGUGGUAGUUAGACCGGCCUUGUUGUAUGGAGCGGAGUGUUGGCCAGUCAAGAACUCACAUGUUCAGAAAAUGCAUGUUGCGGAGAUGAGGAUGUUGAGAUGGAUGUGUGGGCACACUAGGAGCGAUAAGAUUAGGAAUGAGGUUAUCCGGGAGAAGGUGGGAGUGGCCUCGGUGGUGGACAAGCUGAGGGAAGCGAGACUGAGAUGGUUUGGACAUGUGAAGAGACGGGGCGCAGACGCCCCAGUGAGGAGGUGCGAGGGGCUGGUAGUAGAGGGUACGCGGAGGGGUAGAGGUAGGCCCAAGAAGUAUUGGGGAGAGGUGAUUAGACAGGACUUGGCCCAGCUACACAUUACCGAGGACAUGACUCUAGAUAGGAAGGAGUGGAGGUCACGUAUUAAGGUUGAAGGCUAGUAGGGUUAGCGUGUUGUCUUUCCUGGCGAGGGUAUGGGUUGUUAGCGUUUGUAGUAGUCUUAGCCUUACACUUGUAGUUCUUGUCUGUGAUUCCUAUAGCCUUAUGUUGUUUACUGCGUUUCACUUCUCACAUUAUUUUCUUGAUGUAUUUUUCUUGAUGUAUUGCCCCCUUUGUUGAUUAUGCACUAUUUUUCUUAUUGGAUGUUAUGCUUUAUAUAAUUCUCUUCCUUUACUUGGCUUUGUUACACUUGAGCUGAGGGUCUUCCGGAAACAGCCUCUCUACCUCCACGAGGUAGUGGUAAGGUCUGCGUACACUUUACCCUCCCCAGACCCCACCUAGUGGGAUUUCACUGGGUAUGUUGAUGUUGAUGUUGAUGUUUUGAUGAGUGAAACUCUUAUGAGAGUGGUCUAUGACCUUUGUUGCUAAAUAAUGUUGAUGAGGUUGCUUGGCUGAGGAAUCUUUCCUCUUGAGGGUCAUCUUAAAGAUAGAUUUUCUGUUUGAGGAAUCGUUCCUUCGAUGUAUCUUUAUAGAUUUGGUGCUUGUUUUGUUUAUUCAUGGAAGGUUUUAGCUUUCUAUAGCUUUAACUUUUAAUUAAUUCCUCACUUCUAUCUUUCUUCUAUCUUCAUUUCUUGUUCUUAGAUUUAGGGUUUCUUCCACAUAUUGAUAUUGCAUCACGUGUGGAGCUCCCGUAAGACUUGUUUUCCUUUUCUCCCUUUGCCUUUGGAUUAAUUUGUUGUCUUCUCCCGUGUGGUUUUGACAAAUUAUUCAAUCUACAAUUUUUUGGUAGAAAAGAUAAUUGUAUUAAUAUACUAAUAAAAUUAUUAGUAAUUCAUUGCUCAAUGUCUCUGGGAUAUAUAUAACUUCAUUUACAACCAUUGACAAAAAAAUGUAGUCAUAAAAGGUUUAAAGUUUUCUGGCUUUAGGAGAUUAAAGUGGGUGAAGACUAUUUUACCCUAUCCAUUUUCAAUCCGCUCACAUCCGAUCCUAUCUGCCUGUUUUCCACCACUAUCCCCACCCAAACCACCACCCUGACUACCACCCUAAUUACAAAUGCACAACUAAUUGAGGAACCAAGGGGCAAUAAAGUUACAUCAAUCCUACGACAAACCUGUCAAGUAUCACUAACAACCUUCUCAUUAUAACCCCUUCCAACAUUCAUUAUAAUUUCAUCUGCAACUUUUUUCCAACAAUAUCCUAUUUCCAAUCCCUGGCCCAUAGAAAUCCAUCAAGUAAAAUUCACUUCCUACAGAUGUGCACAGCUUUACAAUCAGCAGCUUUUAGCUGAUUAACUAGAGAUUCUCCAGUUGUGUCUUAAAAGAUAUUUAUGCAUUUCUCAAAGAAUCUAACAAGUAUUCGUUAAAGCUUCUAAACAGCAGGAUAUGACAAAUUCCCUGAGUGUACUGGUGAACCUAGGAGAAACUUUUACAAUUGUUGUAGCAACAGUACAAGAAAUUAGACAAGCUAUUUACCUGGGGAAGCAGAAAAAUCUUCUUUCCACACUGAGCAAUGAGAAUGUUGAAAGGGAUGUUUUUAUUCUGAAGGGAGAUGCAGGAGUUGACAACAGCAUCAGACAAAUCACGGGCAGUACUUCCAUUUCCACCCUCAAAAGCAAAACCUCGUACAGGGUAAUUUAAUAACUUAGAAACAAUCACUCCAGCACCACCCAGCCCCUUCCUUGCCAGUAUUUUCUGUAUUGGUGCUUUCUCAACUGGAAAUGGCACUGACAAGUAAUAUGCCUGUCAUGAAUGUCAACAAGAGAACAUCAUAUAGAUAGUUAAGUCAUGUUAAUCAAAUAAUUAGAAAUUAUUUUCCUGACCCAUUACCUGGAAGUGGAGGUGGUUAAUGGUAGCAAAAGCGCCCAAACUGUUAUAACCUACCCUAAAGAAAGGAUCUGCCACUUCUCUGGCAAAAUGAAGAGCAAUUGCGAAACUAUCACGAUCAAUUCUCUGAGGUAAGCAAUCAAGAACUCGAGGUAUCAAAAGCACGUGUCCAUACUCAAUUGGACUCACCUAAAAAACAAGAUCCAUAAGCCAUAAUGCAUCUGAUAAUAACUAUAAGAAGAGCACCAGAGCACAAUUUCCUUACGUUGAUAGCAACAAUACUAGGUGAAAUACCACCGUUUACUCGCAUGCCCGAAAAGUAAUGGGGCUUGUAGUCGGUACUUGGUUCAAACCUGAAAAGCACUUCUUCCUGGCCCACUUUGGUAAAGUUGAAUUUGUUCUCGUCAAAAGGCUGAAGAACCUUAUCAAUGCAAAACUCUGUUGGGCGCUUCUUUAGGUGGCGCCCCUCAUUCAGCUGCGCAAUAAAACCACAUCUCCCAGGAAUGACCUUCGUCUCACAGGUUGUCACAUCAUAUCGAAAUAGUCCCUGGCUCAUCCGCUCCUCCCAUAGGCCCAACAACAAAUUGUUCAAGAAUGACAUCUGACACUCCUCCUCAGGCAAGGUUUGAAUAUCAUUUUCAAUUGGCUCAUUGUCAUCAUUCUUGAAUGCAUAUAGAGGAAGCACUGAAACUGAAAGCAAGAACCAAGAUGUAUCCACUAAGAACCAAAAGCCAGAUAGAUCUAUUAGAUAAACAAAAUCAUUAAACGCACGCGACACACUUUUGGCUUCAUCGGAAAAUACAUGCAGUUUGCUUAUUUCUGCAUUAAGGUGCAUGCAAAGUGGAUAUUUUGCCGCAUACUUUCAACAAAUCUAAGAUACACCACUAGAUUAUAUCAACUCUAAGCAACACUAACACUACAAAUAGUAAACUACAAGUUUACCAUUUUCAGAGAAUGUACAUUCAUCUAUAGUUAUAUAGACAUUCAUGCUAUCAUAGGCGUAUCUAGCAUUGCACAUACGGGUUCAAUUGAAGCCAUAACUUUCGAUGUGGAACAUAAUUUACUGUAAAAAAUUACUAAACUUGUACUAAAAUAGCAGAUAUGAACCCAUAAACAUUAAAAUACAACGGGAUUAACUCUAAAAAUCUUAAAACGGAACCCAUGAUCCGCCUCUUAAAGAAUUUACCACACAUUAGAACUGGCAAAAGCUGAAUCUACAUAAUAGUUACAACUGUAAUUCUUUCCUUGUAUUGUUUGCUCAACUCUAAAAUAAUCUGUGAACAAUUGUUACUCCUAAUAACACCCCCAUAAUCAAUCACCAGGACUACAAAAUCAGACAUAUAGAAACAGGCCUCCACAGAGAGAAAAAACAUUCAGAAAAUUCGUUUUGAUUCACAGCAAAACAUACAUUCCGAAAGAUAAAGAUUUAAGGAAUCGAACACAAACCAGGCAUGCAGCAUUUUCCAAGGCACUUGCGGCCACAACCCAUGACGUUGCCUUCGAGAACAUCCUCUUGAUAGUUGGAAACCAGUGUCGGCACCCUCUUUAUAGUCAACAUCGGUCCUGUUCUUGGAUGGAUAAUCAAAAAUACAAUUCUUACACGAAAAAUUAGGAGAAGGAGAAAGAGAAAGGAAGAAUUGGACCGCCGCCGGCGAGGAAGAGGAGAUCGGAGGGGCAACCGCCUUCAGCGGGUGAGGCACCCCUACCUCCGUGAGGGGAAGGGGUCCGGUGCUUAUCGUCCACCAGAAGAGUUGGAUUAAGGGUCAACACUUUGCGGUGAUGAUGAAUUGUGAGAAUACAAACGAAAGAUCCAAGAAGAGCCGUGAUUGAAUUUGUAGGAUCAACGAACAACUACUAAGGAACGAUCCUUCAUCGAUAAUUUUGAGGAAGAUGUUUUUUUCUGGAAGAAUUUAAUGGGUGGUUGUUGGGUGGCGUUUGGUGCUCCGGUGGUUUUUCUCCUGCAGACGUAUUUGGUCAAUGAGUUCGUCUCAUUGGUAGACUCCCCAACUUUAUAUAAGCACCCCCUUACACCUUGUUUGGAUUACUUUUUUUUUUUGGUUGGGUAAAGGAAUAUUAUACUAUUAUAUUAUAUACUCUAGUUAUUAUAUUAUUAUUAUAUAUAGCAAAAUAAAACUACAAAAAGGGAGCAAGUGUAGAUACAUUUACUACCUUAGAAAUUAGCUCACGUUUUACCUGACAUGCGGAGGUGAAUCAGAAUUUUAAGAUUAUAUCAAUAAUAAAAUAUAAGUGCAUAAAUUUAACAUUAACAAUUUUAUCUAUUUUAUAGCAUAUGUCUUUUUUCUUGAUGUUUGCGUGUUAACUAUUUGAACUCUAUUAGAUGUUUCAUGAUCUUAUUAUGGUUUUCGUAUAGAAAAUUAAAAUUUGAGUGAUCUUUGAAUUAAUAGCGUUGGAUUGAUAUUAAUGUAUCUAGACUAGCAGUAAGUGCUCUCGGUGGUUAUAUAAUUGGGUAAGUGAAUGAAUAAUUAAUUUAUUUGAUAUAUGCAUGGUGUUAGCGAGCAUCAAUUAUAUCUAAAAAUAUUUUGAAACAUGAGGUAAAAAUAGUUACCUUGUCAUCAUUAAGUAUAGGUAAAAUGUGGUAUCCUAAUGUUAAAGAUGGCCAACAACCAUUUUUACAUCGGUGCUAAAUUGCAUAGGUUGAAGAUUGUGUGUUAACGUCAAAAAUAAGCCAUGUAAUAAAGCAUUAACUUCAGUUAUAACACCUUAUUUGGAGGGUUAUUUGCGUAUUUCAUUUUAUCAUAUUGUACUUUAAAUGGAGUAAUAUUUAUUUAAUGAUUAGUAAAACUUAUUAUAUCAAAUUAUAUGAAAUGAAAAAGUAUUGUAUUUGUUAUAAGGGCAAAUUACAGAAAUCACAUACUUUUAAGGCAAAAUUACAAUUUAUCCCUUAAAAGUUUAUAAUUAUAGAAAUCCCUCAAACGGAUAUAAUAAUAUAAGUGCUGAUACAUUAAUCUGAUGCGCGAGAUACACUAAUUUGAUGCGCGAAAAUGAGGGAUUUUGGAGAUUUGUAAAACUUAUAGGGGAUAAUGGUAAUAAGUAAACUAAAAGGUGGGAUUUCUGUAAUUUUUCCUUGUUAUAUAAUGAUGGAUUUGGCGUGAAUGUGGUUCUAUCUUAAUCUUUUUAUUAUUUUAUUUAAUAUUUAACAAUCUCAUUUUUUAUCUUUUCAUCUUACUUUUUAAAAAGAGAAAAGACAUAAAGUAAUACUUGAAGUUAUUCUAAAUUUUCAAAAAGAUACCUUAACUUUGCGAGUGUCCUAUUACCCCACAAAAUAUUUUAAAAUCACAAUAAAUACACACUUUUUUACACAAUCUGCAUUCUCAAUGCAUGAGCGUGAGUCUCACCCCAAUUAAUAAUAUAAUUACAUAAUUUUUUCAACCCAUUUAGUGAAAAUUGGAUUAAAAUCUUGAUCCAUUCACAUUUUAAUCAUGACCCACUCUAUUUAACCCUAAACCCCUUUCAAAUUUUCACUCUACUAUCUCUCUUUGAUUAUCAAAACCCUAAGCAUUUCAAUAGUCACGAUAAAUUUAUUUUGCGGUGAUAAUUUCUUGAAUUAUGGAGUCAAAACGAAGAAAUGAAGGCUCAUAUGUUAAUUGCUUCUUGAUUUGAAAGCAAAUAUUGGUUAAAAAUGUUGUUUUUAUAUAGUAGUGCUUUUUAGAAAAAUCAUCUUAAUAGUGAUUUGUUGUUAUUUUCUUCUUGUGUUAUCUAUUAUUCAUGUGUAUGUAGUGUUAGUUUAGGACUGAUUUGAGUUUGAAUGGUUUUUCACUGAUUUAGUUUUGAAAUUUAUUUGCAAUUGCACUUUCAUGAUUUACAAAUUCAUUGAUCUCAUAACUUUUAAAUAAAAUAAAAAGAAAAGAAAAGAAAUUGAAGUUAGUAAAGCUAGAUGAAAAUUUCAUUCUCAAUGGAGAUUUUUUUUUUUAUGGUUGUAGAUGGAAAGCUCUUCAACAUAUAUCAAUGGAGGUUUUGGAGAAGAUGGGAAGUUGGUAUUUUAAUAAAGAAAGAAAAUUCAAAUUGUCAAUGCCAUGUGGCAUUUUUACACUGAUUUGGGAGUGUAUUUUUACUUUUCCACGCGCCUAUCAGAUGUGAGAAUACAUAUGUUGUGAAAAUGGGUCAAAAGUGUUUAAUUAUUGCGAUUUGAAAUAGUUAUAUGGGGUAAUAGAAUGCCCGCAACGUUUAGGUGUCUUUUUGAAAAUUUAAGACAACUUAAGGUGUUUAAGUGUUUAAUUCAGAUGUAAUAAUUCUUCAUACCCUAUUUUCUUUCUAAUAUUAAUCAGAUUGAUAUUGCGUGACAUUCAUAAAACAACAAAAAGGUAUCAUUUAUUCAAAUAUAUAAAUAAGUUGUUAUUUGUGAUACACCAUGUGCUUUACACCCUCUAUCACUGUAUCACACACACAUAUAUAUAUCAAACUGAAUAAUAUUUUCGAGUGUUAAUCGGAAAAGGGCCUAAAAUACCCUUGAACUAUUAGAAAUGGUACAAAAUUACCCUCCAUCCACCUAUUAGUCCUAAAAUACCCUUGUUGUCUACCUUUAGGUCCUAUAUUGCCCUUUUAUUUUUAACGGUCCCAAGUUAAACCCAAUUAAUAAAUUCAUUAAUGGCGUGGCGAUUUUCUAUUGGCCAGCUUUAAAUAAUCUAAACUAAUUGAAAACCCACUUAUUCUCAAAUUAGACCCAAAUAAAAUCUACCCGCCCCAAGUUCAUUAAACCCAUCUUCCUCACAGGCUUUUUUGAAUUGAAUCCUGACCUUGAGUUUGAACAUCUAAAAAGAUAUUUGAUAAGAGAUGUGCAUAACUUGAUCAUUUUGUAAAGGUUACUGUUAUUAAACAUGGUGAUGAUACAAACAUUGGUUGAUCAUAAAGAUGUUGAAACAAGUUUUGAGUUCUUUCAUUUUCUUUUUAUGCUAGGCUGGAGGAACUCUAAUUUAUGGUAGACUCUAUGUAUGCUGUGAAAUGGGAGUUUCGGUUUUAGCUUUUUCAGAUAACAAUAUUGUUAUAUAGUUUUGUUGUUUACCUCUAACUAUUUAAUCAAGCACAUUGCUCAGAUCUUAGUUACUUGUUUUGGAAGUCUAAGAAAGUGAUAUGUAUUCUGUAUUUUUGGGCAACGAUUGCAUAAAUAAACAGAAAAUCAAAUUCAGUCGAUGACACGAAAUUCUCAUCACCAUUGCCCACUUAUAUUUGAUGAGAAUGAAACUAAAUCUUUUGUAUUACUUUAUUUUGGAUUCAUUAGAUAGAUUCUACUCAAAAAUUUGCUCAAGAAAUAUCAUAAUCUCCUUUAUGUAAAUUAUCUAGGUUUUAUUUCUUUUUCAAAGAAUGUAGGUGGGAUGAAAAUAAGAAAAAGAAAAGGUUGUAGCUUUUAUGCUCUAUGAUUUGCCAUUUUGCUGUGAGGAAGACGAUGAUAAAAGAUAGGGUUAAAUGAAUUUGGGGCGGGUCUAAUUUGGGAAUGGGUGGGUUUUUAAAAUUAAUUUAGGUUAUUUAAAAUCUAGCCAAUAGAAAAUUGACACGUCAUUAAUGAAUUUAUUAAUUGGGUUUAAAUUGGGACCGUUAAAAAUAAAGGGCAAUAUAGGACAUAAAGGUAGACAUCAAGGGUAUUUUAGGACUAAUAGGUGGAUUGAGGGUAAUUUUGUACCAUUUCUAAUAGUUCAAGGGUAUUUUAGGCUCUUUUUCGUUGUUUAAUUUGUAAAAAUAUGGACUAUAUCUGUAACUAACUAUAAUAAAUAUAUAAUUAUUAAAAUAUAAGUAAAACUACAAAUAAAAAGUUCAUAUCUAUUUAAUUUCAUAGAUUUAACAAAGAAAAAAAAAUUUAGUAAUUUCGUUUAACUAUAUUUAGCCAACUUUAUUAGGCGCUUUGAAAUAAAAUUAACUUCUACCUACAUUAUCUUAAUUCUUACAUGUAUCUUCCAAACUUAGCAAAUAAAAAAUGAUCAUAGAUUACAUAAUAAGAUAUACUACUAAUUAUUAGUAAUAACUCUCUAGCAUUUUGAGCAUAUGAGUUUUUUAAAAAUAUUAGAGAAAUUUCUCAAUAUUAUGUUAGCUUGCUUAUUUGUUGUUUCACUUCAAAUUACACCAAAUUUACUUAGUUAUACGAAAAUGAAUUUAAAUAAAUAUAAGAAAUAUGAAUAAUAAUAUUAUAUUACUGUCGUGAUUGGCACCCACACUAACUCUCCGGUGGAAGAAUCACUACUACAACCCAAACCAAGCAACUAAAACAAAACUAAGGUAUUUAAGUUACGGAAGCAAGUUAAAUACUAAGGAAAUAAAUAGGGAGUUCCCAUAAACUCCAAAAAAGUCUAACAACGAACUAACAAUGCGGAAGAACUAACCUGGAACUUGAAAGUCAAUGUACCAAAACAUCUAAAGUUCAACAAGUCUAAGCAAAAAGGGAUGCAACCCCAAUCUAAUGAACUAAUCAACUAACUAGAACAUAGUCUAAGUCCAGAAAUGGUGGACAUAGACGUAAGAGAACCCAUGAUAGCCCGGAAGAAUUGACUCACUUUUGAAUUCGAACGAUCACUCCUAAGUGAGGUCUGUCAAUAGCCGUCGGAAGAUGCCCUGUACUCAACAAAAAUAAGAGCAAAUGCAGUAUCAGUAAACAACCACAGUGUACUGGUAGGAUCACGCGACUAUCCCACUAAGUGCAACAUAAGCAAGUUGAGACAACAAUAUAAUCACAUGCAUAUAUAUAUAUAUCAACAUAUACAAUAUUAUCAACAUUUACGAACAACGAAUAACUUCACAUUUUUUAUCAAAUCAUUAGUCCUCUCAUGAGACCCAAACUCAAACAGUUAGCAUACCGAAAUGUGGUAUCCGAUCCCAUAAUUAUGCCGGAACAUGGCAACCGAUCCCAUAGUUAUGCCGGAACGUGGCAACCGAUCCAAGUUAAUUAUGCCGGAACGUGACAACCGAUCCAAGUUAGUUAUGCCGGAACGUGGCAACCGAUCCAUUCAACACACCACAAUCACAAUCACAAGUAUAUUACCCGGAUCAUGCAUUUAAGUCAUGAUUUCAUGACAAUCAUUAUUCAUCUAUGUCAUUUACAACAAGUGUGAUCAACAUUGCAACAUUCAUACGUAUACAAGUAUCAUAAUGAAAGCAAGAACAAACAUACAUCACACAAUCAUAGAAAUCACAACCAUCACUUACCUCGAAACAAGCUUGAAACCCUAAGAAACUUGAUCCUUCCCUUUCCAGAUUCGUUUCGCUUGUUCUUGGUCUACAAACAAUCAAUAUAAUACGGGAAUCAAUAAACAAUCACUAAUUACCCGAAUUACUAACAAUUCUAUGAACCCUAGAUCAAACUCAUGAUCCCAACUAUCCAAAUUAGGGGGUUUUUCACCAUAGAAUCUAUAACAAAACCUUCUCCCAUCAAUAUUCACCAAUUCUAUUACGUUCUACGGAUUCCUUAACGAGUUAUCUAACUACUCAUGCAAUCAAAAUCAUAAAUGAUUCACCCGAUUGUUACCGGAUUUCCCUACACCUCAAAAACUCCGAUUUCGUCCAAAUUUGGACUAGGUUGAAAAAAUCCAAAUAGUAUGAAAAGAUUUUCCGUCCCCAAAUUUUCUCCCGUUUGCAUUUCUAUAAUGAUGGGAACAUGUCGUUACAAUUACCUAUAGUUUGAUUUUAAACUGUAGGUAAUGCACCUAUACAUUAUGUAUAAUAAUAUGAGUCUUUAGUUAAUUUAGCCUUAUUCAAAUUACAUUUUGGGCCAUGGGCCUGCUAGCUCACUCAAUUUAGGAAGUAUUUUCUCCUUCUAUGCAAAGUGGAGAUAUUGAAUCCUCUAUAGCUUAAUUAUGAAAUUACCAAAACAAAUAUAAAUUACAAAAUUUUAAUGUAUUUUUUCCAUCUUUUAUCCAAGAAAAUUAGUAAAACACUUGAAGUCAAACUGGUGGUGCCUAUAGUUCAUUGGGUCAAUGUAUUUUCGAAACUUAGAUUAUAGGUUAUUGUUUUCUAAAUCAUCAAGGAAUUGUUAUUUCUUUUUCGGGGGUGGAUCUAAGGGCCGGGGUUGGGGGUUGAGGGCGUUCACGACCAAGAGUUAUACCCUAUAUAUAAGUUUUUAUUUGAAUCCCGACACACAAGACUAUAAAAAUCAGUGACUCAGAACAAGUUAUCACAAUGUGAAGGUCAAUGACAACAAAACUGAGUAGUUCAUUCGGUAACUUCAAUAUUCAUAGAAACAGAAAUUUAAACAAAAAACGGACCACAAGCGUUACAGAUUAAAGAAGGGAGAAGAGCUAAUACAACAUGAAGAAAGGAUACUGACUGUACAUGAUGGAUAUAAUAACAAGUAGCUACACACCCUUGGAACCAGGAAUGUCAAUCCACUGCAAUUGUAGCUCUAUUUCGCCACGCUCAACAUUUCGCAAUCUAAUAAACACAUUUUGAACAACCUGAUCAUUUUCCCACACAAUGGGGCUCUCUUCAGACAAACAAUUUUGCCUGCUUGGCUUUAUUUUUGUGAUUAUGGUUCCACUAGGGAUGUUCUUGUAGCGCUUUCUCACCGCAUCUAUAAAUGGAUGUAUGUCAAUUUCUGCAUCACCCAUCUUAUCGUCCAGAGAAAAUAUAUCCUUGUCAUAAACAUGCUGCAAUGGCACAGAAAAAAAUCUCUUAGGAUUGCAUAAAUUACAAAUCCACGUGAUGUUCUGAAAUAAGUCAAUUCCUAUUCCUUAGGUUCCUUUUUAAAAAAGUUGAAAGCAGAACCAGAAUUUGAAGCUUAUGGGUCGAGAUUCUAGUCAUUUUAAGAUAUAAGUUGUGCAUAUUCAGUAAGUUUCCCAAGACAAAUACAUGAUUUGGACCAAAGCUACUUGAACCCCAAACCGUAUUCUAGAUCCAUCCCUAGAAGCAAACUAAAAGUCUACAACUACACCAUUUAUCCGUCUCCCGAUAAUUAGGUUAUGUGCUGUUUAAUUCCUUGAUGAAAUAAAAAUACAGUAAAAUGAAGGAAAUUACCAGAUUGAUUGGGAGAAUUGGUUCAGUAAUAGAUAGUGUUAAUUCUUCAUUCCAUUCUGGAUUGAGAUUCUUCUUCACCACUCGAGUCUUCAAUUUCUGCUCCAAAUAUUAUCACUAAUUAACAUAACAAGAAAGUAUAUUCGUAGUAUCAAAAACUGAAAUAGGCAUAAAGAAGCAAUGUCAACAGGGCAAUGGAAACCAUUUGUCCAUCCAAUUGGUUCAAAUAUUUGAAUCACAUAUCUUUAUUGAGGUUCAUGGCAGUCAACAACUAAGCCCAAAUUAGUUUUAAAUCCCCUACUGCAAUUCAUUACUCAAAAGUCUUCUUUUUAAUUAGUCAUGUAAGAUAUGAACUAGUCAAAGUGACGCAAUCAAGCACAAGCAACAACGAGGGAGAUUGGGAUGACCAUGGAUCAAAUUCAUCAAAAAGAUUUUUAAAAAUGUCAGUGAAUUUAUUCCAUCUGCCCAAGUUUUGGCGAGCAAAAUUAUUCAGGGAUAGGUGAGAAGUACCAGUGGAACAAUAGAGGAGCGUGCAAGUUGACCGAAUAAUCACACUUGCAAAAAGGAAAAAAACAGAGAUUAAGACAGAAACAGGGUAUAGGGUAAGGUCUACAGCAGCGGAUGCCAGAUUUUCACUAAGGGGAUCUGAAAAAUAAAAAAUAUAGUGAUUGUGAAUUGAACUUGGAACCUUAAGGUCAGGUCAAUUCUGAAUCUCUAAGCCAAAGUCUAGUCUUGUGUUCAGUGGAUUCAGGUGAACAUCCUUGCCCCUUCCUAGAUCCACUCUUGGGUCUGGUACACUACCUACUCAAACCCAAUUCUAAGAUUACAUUGGAUGGUUGUUGUAACAGAAAUUUGUGGGGAUUCUCUAGUAGGAAACUAUCAAAUAUAUAAAAACUCGAAAAUUUUCUACAAGGAUACUACUACUAAGCAGAUACAAAAUUUGUAUAAAACCCAUUAUUCUGAGUCACAGACAAACAAUUUUCUGGAAAUCAAGAAUGCAAAAAAAAAAAAACAACAAGAAAAGUAACAGCUGUUCAGCAGAAAAAAAUAAUGAAAUUGGCGUUACCUGUUUGCCCAUCCUAACAACAACGUAAGGAUCGCUGGUAGUAACAUCUCUAAUAGCCAAAUUAAUACCUCUGUGGAUACGAACUCUCAUAAGACCCAACAAAUUCUCCAUUCAAAAUUUUGAAUUAAGCUCAGAAAGAAUUAAGAAUUAAGGCAAAGAAAGAGAGAUUAUUACUCACUAGUAUUCAAUUGGCUAACGUCUUAUUUUAUACCCAAUUGAAGGGCUGACUGAGUUAAUGCACGUAAAAGUCACUUUCUCUAUUUAUUUCUUGUGUCCCCGAAAAAUAUUUCGAUAUGUCUAUAUGUUUUUAGUUUGAAAUUGUUUUUAUUUAAAAUUAGAUAAAUAUUACUCCCUCUGUCCCUAAUUACUUGUCCAUUUUUGAAUUGGCACACCUAUUAAGAAAAUAAUAAUUGAUAUAGUGAGUUUAUCAUUUUACUCAUAUUAAUCAUGAAGUGGAUGAAUUAAAAACUUAAGAUUUUCAAAAAAUUCUACAUUUUCAAAGUAAUAAAUUGAGGGUAUAAUAGAGAAUUUUUUUUUGUCCUUUCUUGAUUUGUCAAAAUGGACAAGUAAUUAGGGACAACUAAAAAAGGAAAAAUAUACAAGUAAUUAGGUACAGAGGGAGUAUAUAUAUUAAGAUUAAAAUUAAAAUUAGACAGAUAAAUUAAAAUUAAAUCUGAGUACUAAUAUUUAGAUCUGAUUUGAUGAGUUAAAAAUGGAGUACUAGUUUGACUGGCUUAUAUCAAUUACGUAGUGAUAAUUUUUAAUUAUAUUGCUUAAUUGAGUUUUGACAGAGAAAUCAACGGUUAAUGUUGUUUUUUAGCGGAAUUAUCGAGAGUUAUUGGAUUUGGUAGAACAAAUACGACUGCAGUAAUCGUCCGGCUAAUUAAUAAUUAUGAGUCAUUUUUGGUUUAUAAAAGUUUGGUAACACUACGUGCCAACUUGUCUUGUUUUAUAAAGCAAAUCGUCUACUUUUUGGAUUUGGAUACAUAUAGAUACGUGACCCAACAUCAUGUUUAGACUUCAAAAAGUGAAAAUAUUUGGGUAGGCUAAUAACGAUUACUUCCUUUUAUGUUAAUAUGACUGCAUUUUAUUAUAAAACAAACAAGAAAUGAUGAUUUAUAUUGGAAAAAUAGAAGCAAUAUUGAAUAAAAGACACUAGCUCGUUCCUCAUCAUUGAAAGACUCAUAUUGGUAUGUGGAAUAAAUAAAUAAGGAUAUCUCGUGAAUUUAAAUAUUUUAGGAAAUUAACUCGUAAUAUCUCACAUAUCAAAUAUGAAAUAAAAUUAAUUUCAAAUUUUAUUUUAAAAUUAUUAUUCUUUAUCUCAUUUACCUAAUGAAAAAGCUCUCACAUUUGGUGGUCUUUUCUCUCUUCCCUCAAUACACUAGACAUUAGACAAAGUCGAAGACUAUACAUGGUAGAGUGAACUAGUGCAAGAAAAUUUAGAUACAUUUUAUUUUUUACUUUUUUGCAAAAUCGAAGCUAAUAUUUAGGUAAUAAUAGUAAAAUUUAAAGCUUUGAUCAUGAGAAGUAGCUAAUUAUAUCUAUUCAACAACAUGCAUAUAUUAAUUAUUGGAAUUUGAGUUGUGGGAAUAUAGACUAACGCCCACCCUUUGAUAAUUUAUAGUCAAGUCAUUCAACAGACAUAGUGGGAGAGUUGGAAGAAGUAAAUUAAAUUAAAAUCGAUGAUAUUUUUUUUUUUCACACAGCAAAGUCAAUGAUCAUAAUUCAUAAUAUUGUUCUUGAAUAGUUCCUCGAUUGGUAUGUUUUGCUAGUUGACUAAUUAAUUCAUAUGUCAUAUGAUUAUUUUUUUUGACGAAUACCUGAAGUUAAUUGAUUGAAAAUUUAGAAUGACUUCAAGAUUUGGAGCUCGCCUGAUUUAGCUAUAAAUGAAGUUGAAUUUAUAAAUACUUAGUUAAAUUGAUGAUAAGUUGUUUAUGUGUUCGGUAAAUAUAUGCUGAUGGGUAUGAUUGUUUUGGUUAAAAUGAUGAAAAUGUUCUUGAAGUUAUAUACUAUUAUUAAAAAAUAUAAAUAAAAGUAUUUUUUUAAAUAUAAAAUAGGACAAAUGAUGAAAAUAGAAUAAAGAGAUGAUUAACGAUUAUAUAUUAAGAGGAAUAUUUUGAAAACUAGAGAUAAAAUAGUAAAAGAUUUGACUAAAUCAAAACUGUUUAUGAGCGGUAAAAGCGGGAAUUAGAGCCGGUUUGGAUUAACUUAAAAGUUGGUCAAACUUGUUUUUAAGUCAUUUUUAAUUUUUGAGAGUGUUUGACAAAUUUAAAACUUAAAAUAAGUUAAAAGUAUGAAUCUUCCUAUUUUUUUAUUUUUUGAAAAAAAAUUUCAUUUAAGUUUAUUUUUAAAAGUUACUUUUUAAAAACUAUUUUUUUAAGCCAGUUUAAACUGGCUUUUAGAAGUGAUUAACUAGUGACUUUUGAUCGAUUUUGACUUAUAAGUAUUUUUAACAUUAUCGAACGGGUGAAUAAUAAAAUUAAUAAUUACAAGUGCAGCCAAACACCAUCUAUACUAAACUACCAGAGGAAGGAAGAAAAUAAUUUAUUUUCCCUUAAUUGAUCAAACAAACUUAGAAAAAUAAAAAGGAUGUCGAGAGAUAAAUUGAGUGAUUUUUAAUGCUAUAGUUAUCUUCUUUUUUCGCUUAAUUAGAAUUUCUUCUUGUCAAAGUUUGCAAAUCAUGUGCUUAUAAAUACUCCGUCUGUUCACAUUUACUUGUCAUUUUUGAUAUAUCAAAAAAAGACAAUAAUUUUUUUCCAUAUUUUACUUUCAACAUUAAAUACUUAUUUUUCAAAUAAGUAAGGAUAAUUUAAUAAAAUAUCUAUAUUAAUAAUUAUUUUCUUAUAGUGUAUCAAGUCAGACUUUUACAAGUAAAAAUGGACCACGGGAGUAAUAAACAUUUCAUAAUUUGGAGCGGAAAAAGAUGUAAUUUAUGUCAUUAAUGGGACCAGAAAACAAAUUAGAAGUCUUCAAUGUUACUUAUUGUGGGAAUAAUAAGUCAAAUAUUAUUGAGUGCUCAUAAAAUAUUUUAAUGAAUAAAAGACCAACAUGCAGGAGAAUUAAUCAAGGAAAGAACGAAUUUUAGUUUGGAAUUCUAUUUUUACCUUUAAUUUCCUUGUUUAUUUUCUUAAUAUAAAAUGUCCAUGUGAAAUAUUCAUCUUCAUAGGAUCUUUUGAUAGUAGUCAUGACCAACAACCAUCAGCUCUGAAUUUGUUGGUAAGGUGAGAGCUUCAAGCCCGAUUUCAGGUGGUGCACUUUAAAAGUCAAAAUUCAAUACUAGUAUAUUAUAUUACCUAAAGCACACCAAGAUAAUUAAUUAAUUAAGGCAAAUGUGAACUCAAAGAUAGAAUAUAGGGUAUGAAAUAUGAAUGUAUUACUAUUAUUUAACUAAAGAGGACGAAUAUACUAGAACUAACGACUUUUACGUCAUUCCCCGGUUAAGCAUUUCGUAUUUUAUUAAAAAAAUAAGUAUGACCUAAUUUUUUUCCUUCUUAUUAUUAUUAGGUACACAAAAAUGAAAAUGUGGUUUUGAACAAUUAUUUUUUCGACCAUACUAAAGUUUAAAGGGAUUAUGGACCAUAUGAUAGCAACUAGACACGUGAAAGUAAAUGUUUUGGGCUCCAUUGUCAUUUAAUCUCUUCGACUUAUAUUAGUUGCUUACGUUAUCAAAUAUAUAUAGUUAUCCAAAUUUACUAGUCAAAUUAUAAAAUCAAGAUAAAAUUAAUUACAUUCUUAUUUAUAUAAUCUUUUUUAAGUGUAAAUAAGUUUGUAAAGUUUUUCAAAAAGUUUCUUAAGUCGUAAAUUAAUAAAACUGUCUUUAUUUAUGAUUUCUUGAGGAAUAUAUGAGAAAAUGAACAACUAAUAUAAAACGGAGAAAAAAAGUCUAAGAGUAAAGUCGUUUUCGCAUAGGGGAACACUCCCCCAGCAAAAGAUUGGCAAAAUAAAAGCAAAAUCUAUGCGUUCAAAUGUCAUGAGUUUAGAGUUUAGACUAGCAACUUUUGCUGACUAAUAUUCUGUUAAUUUAAUAGCAACUAAACACUACAUUAGUAGUAUACGUAAUUGUCUAAGUAAUAAUUUAUAUACUUAAUCAACACGCAACAAAGGGCAGAUUCACAAUGCAACAUACAUGUUAACCUGAACGCAAUAACUUUUGCACAAAUUCUAUAUUUAACUUGAUAUACUGUGGAUCAUUUUCUUAGUCCGCUCCUUUUUUUUUUUUGGUUACAAAACAUAGAGGAAUUUGUUUGUUCAUUAACAUUUUCUAGCGAUGGUUUAAUUGUGGGAAACUUACAUAAAUAUGCUAUAUUAAGAAAAUAUAUCAUUUAUAGCAAUAACAUUUUUUUUUCACUUGAUCAUUUUUAAUACAUUUAUAAUACAGUUUUAAUAUAUAUUACAAAGAAUAAUUUAUAAAACAGAUAGAAUUCAAGUUUUAUUGAUUGAUAUUAUAUUUAUCACACAUUUUAAUACAUUAAUAAUACAAUGUUUUAAUUUCUUACCAAACAAACAUAAUAUAUUUUAUUUUAAUACAUAAAUAUUGCAUGCAUAAUUCACUUUUAAUACAUAUUGCAGAUUUAUCAUAGUAUUGCUAUAUAUAUUUCUAUAAAUGACAAUAAAUAAAAAGUAUCACUAAAAUCAAUAAUUAUUUAUUAAAAGAUAUCCAUUCAAUAUUUUUUUCAAAAAUGGUUGUAUUUAAAAACAAAUUAGGAUUAAUUACUUCGGUGGAUCCCUUUUAAAAAAUAAUUACUUAUUUUAAGUAUACUCUUUAAUUAUUACCAUUUAUAGCAAUAUAUAGCAAUAUUAUGUAUUUAUUUGAUUUAUGUUUCUCUCUCACCUCUUUCUCCUUUUUUAUUCUCUCUGUGCAAGGUAUCAAUAUUUUAAAGCUACAAUUGAAAGAUCCACAAUCUUUAACCACAAAUUCAAUUCGUUAUGUCUCUAAAGGGAGAAGAAAAUCUUGAGCUCAUUCUUUCUCUAUCUGUCCCUGGAAAUUAUGUUGUCAACCACUAUAAUGGUAUUUAAGUUGUUGAUCCUUCAAUAUUCAAUGUGGUACAAGAAAUGAUAUGGAUUAACAUAAACGUUAACGAAUAUGUAGAUCUUAUAAAAAAAUAAACCCUAAAGUUACUAUGUAUGUUGUUUUUAAAGAUUGUACUAAAUUGGAAUGAUGUCUGCAAUAUGCAUUAAAAAUGUNNNNNNNNNNNNNNNNNNNNNNNNNNNNNNNNNNNNNNNNNNNNNNNNNNNNNNNNNNNNNNNNNNNNNNNNNNNNNNNNNNNNNNNNNNNNNNNNNNNNNNNNNNNNNNNNNNNNNNNNNNNNNNNNNNNNNNNNNNNNNNNNNNNNNNNNNNNNNNNNNNNNNNNNNNNNNNNNNNNNNNNNNNNNNNNNNNNNNNNNNNNNNNNNNNNNNNNNNNNNNNNNNNNNNNNNNNNNNNNNNNNNNNNNNNNNNNNNNNNNNNNNNNNNNNNNNNNNNNNNNNNNNNNNNNNNNNNNNNNNNNNNNNNNNNNNNNNNNNNNNNNNNNNNNNNNNNNNNNNNNNNNNNNNNNNNNNNNNNNNNNNNNNNNNNNNNNNNNNNNNNNNNNNNNNNNNNNNNNNNNNNNNNNNNNNNNNNNNNNNNNNNNNNNNNNNNNNNNNNNNNNNNNNNNNNNNNNNNNNNNNNNNNNNNNNNNNNNNNNNNNNNNNNNNNNNNNNNNNNNNNNNNNNNNNNNNNNNNNNNNNNNNNNNNNNNNNNNAAUAAAACUUGUAUCAAUAAUGAAUUAAAUUAGUAAUCUAAUAGUAACAAAUAAUAAACUACAGAAUGAUUUAAAUUUGCAUUAAAAGUGUAUUACGCAGUAUUAAAGUUGAAUUAGAAGAGAAAAUUAAGAAUAAAUGAAAAAUGUAACUAACAAAAGACAAGAUAAACUGAAUUAAACUUGUACUAUUCUUGAAUAAAACAUGUAUUAUAUGUGUCUUAUAAAUUAUUUUGAUUUGUAUCACUAAGAACAUGAGUGAUAUUUGCAAUAUGUAUUAAAAUGUAAUGUGCAUGUAUUAUAAUGUAGUAUAAGUGUGUUACCAAUUAUAAACUUAACCAAACCCUCUUAAAAUUGAGAUAUAAACCACAAACGUCUAUUUUCAAUUAUUUGUAGGAACAACCUUAUCCAAACUAAUCAUAAAUUCAUAAAAUUCAAAUAAUGAAUCCAAAAUUUGAAGGUUUAUAAUGACUAUUAAUGGUGAACUCUUGCCGCCGUAAUUUUAGAGAUUUAAAAUUUCUGCUUGAGAACAUAUUUCUAUACAAAUUUUUAGUCUUUCUGUUCCUCUUCUCGUCAUGUUCUUGUGUAAAGAUAGUGAAAUAUGAGCAAAUAUUAAUUUGAGGAUAGUUAAUUAAAUGAAAAUUCUAAAGAAGAAAAAAAAGAAUAAAAAGAAUAAAAAGAAGAAAAAAAAUGACGGAGAAAGAGACAGAGAAGAAGAAGAAUAAAAAAAGAAGAGGAGGAAGCGAAGUGAAGAUAAAUCGUACAACAUUUUCAAUUCCAAAAAAUUGUUAUAUUAAGUUACAAAAGUUAUAUUGUCAUAGAUGAUAAAUAUUUUUUUAAUAUAGCAUAUUUAUGUGAUUUACCCAACAAAUUAUGCAGUGUUUGAAGAAAACAUAAAUUAGCCCAAUAUCUGCUUUGGGCUGAACUUUGAAAUGCAUACAAGAGUUAUGGGCCGCCUAUAAAUUAGCCCAAUUAGAGUGAUCUAAUUUUCCGAUAGAAAUUGGGGGAAUUUUACGAUAGAAAUGGUGUCCACUGCCCUUUCUUGGCCUUGUUUUUGUAUUUUAAAAUUUUAUGACAUUAUUUUGGAGCUUUAAUAGUUGAGACUUGAAAUUUCACGAACAAUUUUGAGAUGCUGAUACAAUUCGGGGAAAUUGCACUCCAAAUGUUAGUUAUUGAAGUAGUAGAGCCCAAGACUAUAUAACUAUUCCAUCGCAUUUAUUGUCUUUAACGAAUAUGCACUGGGUAAUUAUUACUUGAUCAUCUCACAAGUAGGUAGCUUUUUUCACGCAAUCAUUCUUAAGAUAGGUGUCAAGAAAUUCAAGAUUGUCAAUAUCGGCGUCACUAGCCCUUGAAUGAAAGUUGCAAUAUCGACUUCACUAUUUGUGGUUCGAUGGACAUAAAGGUGAUGGAUGACUUUGAUACAAUCGAUACAAUCUAAUGGAAAUCACGCUCCAAAAUUUAACUAUUAAGAUGGAAGAAAUCAGUGUUAUAUAAAUUUCACGUAAUUAAUACAACUCAAAGAGAAAAUACAUCCUAAAAAUUACUAUUGAGAUUAAACAACUCAAAAUUAUAUAAAACCAUAUCAACACAUUUCUAUAGGUGAAACUUAAGUCGCAUAAGAUACGGACAAGGACUGAGCCAAGUAAUGCCAAGGAGUUCAUUUGAAUGUUAUUUGAUAAAAAAUUAUACUACUAUUUAUAUAUGAUUUUUUUUUUAUGUAUAUAUAUAUAUAUUACAUGUUAAACCUUCUUUAAUAUUUUUUUAUUUAUUUUAUAUAUAAUGUCUGUUAUGUUAAACCCUCCUUUUAUAUCUUUGUCCUUGCCUUUUAUAUUUUGAACCUCUUAAUCAAAAUCUCGAUUUGGCUUAACACUAUAUAUUACCCGAACACGUGUAAUAUAAUACAAGAUUGGUAUAGUGGUCUCUCCCACAUAGAAGUUGCCCUCCCCUGCAAUUGCUCUUUCGAGUUUCAUCAGUUAGGAACGUAAGUGGUUCAAAUUCAGUGUUGUUUGUACCAUUGCUCUUGGAAUUAUAAGUGUACCCUUUUGCUUUUAUUGACAAAUUUUUACUCGGAAUCUUCCAAAUUGUCCUACAGGAAGUCUUUAAUUAUGGUCUGUAACCUGCUUAAUUCACCUGGGCAAACCAGGUGAUUUCUUCAACCCUGGAAAUUUUGAUUUUAGGGUUUUCUUUUUCUUGAUUUGGGGACUCCAUAUUAUACUGCAAUGUGGAAUCUUGAUAUACUUUCUCUCUCAAUCUUGAACUGUAUAAAGAAUAUUAUAACUAUAGGUCCGUUCAACUAGACUGAUUUUACGAUGCCUACUUGAAUCCAUCUUUUUAUGUUUAUGAUAUUUUAUUACCAAUUUGGGUUUCGUUUUAUCCUUUUAAUCUCUUUUUGCUUUAUUCUGAUCAUACAAUCUUGAUCAAGAAAAUGCUGACAUAUUCUGAAUUGGACUUUUUAAUGGCAAUGAUAAGGUUCAAGGUGGAAAAUAUCGAUGGAGUUAGAGGAAAUAUGGCUUCAUACAAUUCAAGAAAAGGUUUCCAUAGGAUGCAUAAGUCAUUUUCAAACCCGAUCCCAUGUACCUCUUGGAAAAUAUUUUGUGCCCCUGAAAAUUUGGAGAAGCGAUUUUCAGUGGUAGUAUCGGAGAAAAUAGCAGACGCAGGUCUGUCUGAUCCUGAGCAACCUUUGAGAAGCGAAGAGGUAAGAUUUUUCAUUACCCUGUUGCAGACCUUUAUUAGAAAACAAAACCUCAUACAAAAGCCAAAUGAUUUUUUUCUUAUUCCUCCUUUUGGGGGAAUGCUUCCUUUCUUGGUUGAGAAUAAUCUUUAUUGUUGCUGCAAGUAUAUUGAGCUAUACUGACUCUCUUCUAUCUUUAUAGUUGAGGUUAUUGCUUGCCGAUGCUGAAAGAUCGAAGCUUCUCAAGAAAUUGAGUGAAGCCAACCGAUAUAAUCGGUUGCUUAAGCGAGAGGUAUAUAUUUUAUUGGUUUCAUAUUCAAUCUCGUAAGUUCUUCUUAUGGGACUGAUAAAGUGGAUGAUUCUCCAUUUGAGUGUCUUUCACACAUAAAGUUAGUGCUCUGUUUGACAAAAGUUACCUACACAAUCAGGAGAGGACAGUAAAGUUACAAUCUUUCCCCUUGUGAGUAUUAGGAGGAAAGCCGACCGUGAGAGAAUAUUUUUGCAUUCUCUUAGACCUCCUAGUCCAUCCCUUCUGGCCCUCAUCAAUAUUUAAUAAGUGUGGGAACAUAGUCUCUGGUACUCGUGUCCUGUUAAUAACUCACACGGUUAGGACUUUGGAAGCAUAUUUGCAGCUUAUGUCAGACUUUUGUUUGAAGCUAACAUAGAAAUUAAGGUGGGGGAUUCUAGAUAUACAUGGUUUUGGAGAGAUGCUUGGAGCCUUGGAGAGGUAGGUCACAGAGCUUUGAAGAUCAAAUAUCAGAACCUUUAUUAGUUUCACUACUAAUACAGGUAGUCUUGUCUCAGAUUGUUGGAAUGGUGGAUGCUGGUGCAUUAGUUUUAGAAGGAUUUGUUUUGAUUGAGAGAUACCUAGAAUGGCUCUCCUAUUGAAUGAUUUAGAUAAGGUGGAGCUUAAUGUGAAGUAUCUUGAGUCUAUAAUCCAGGGAAGUGGGGAUCGACGAUGAUAUCACACAUCGUAUUGGUGCAGCGUGGAUGAAGUGGAGACUUGCAUCCGGAGUCUUGUGUGAUAAAAAACUACCACUGAAACUUAAAGGCAAGUUUUAUAGAGUGGUGGUUAGGCCAACUUCCUUGAAUUCCAGUGUUUAGUUUUAUAUAGUAAGAUCUGUUUCUGAGAUUUCUGGAUGCAAUAGGUGAACUAAACUCAUAGAUAGUUGGGUAAAGUUAAUGGUUUAUGACUACAGAAAAAUGAUGGAAAAUGUGCUUUGCAUGUAAACUCUAUUUUAAUUUUUUUUUUCUGAUGAUGACAAUUAAUAUGCCAUAUCACUGCAGUUGCAAGCUAAGGAGGAUGCGCUGGUUAAUUUCAAAAGUGAACUUUCAGUCACCGAACUUGAGAUUCAGGUUUGCUUCUUCUACGUUGGUGUUAUUGUAAUUUUAUUGCUUCAGAUGUAGUUGUAAGUAUUUGGUGCAUUUGCAUACAGGUUAUAACAAACCUAUGGUUCCUUAUGAUGUGAGGAUUUGUGCCGUAAUUAACUAGAAUGGGAUUUAUGCUAAAUGAAAUUGUCCGCACUUUGAAGAUGAAACUUACCGGGAACUAGAAGAGAAAAUUUAAACAGUUGAUAAUCCAACAUUUGUGUGGGACUUCAACUCUAGCAACUGGCAUUAGCAGCUUAUGUAGUAUAAAUAUAGUUUUGUAUUUUAUUUGACCUGCAGGUUUUGGCUAGAUUGGCUGAAGAAAUUGCUAAAUCUGCUAUCCCAGCUGGUUCAAGAAAAAUUAAAGGGAGAUAUAUCCAGUCACACCUAUUAUCACGUUUGGAAGGUAUUAUUACCUUACUGUAUACUUUCUUGAACUGAACACCGAACUCUUUUGAAUGACAGACAGUGCCAACCUUGUUAGAUUGUAGAUAAAUGUUCAUGGAUAAAUUUAACCUGACAUUUCUAUGAUUGCUGUCUUGAUACUUCUGUUCUUAAGCCAUACGUGAAAAAUUGAAGGAGCAAAUAAAGGGCGUGGAAGCUGUACAAGCCAAAGAGGUUCCUUUAUCCUGGGUUGGGGUAGCAGAGGUAAGUUAUUGAAUAAGUUUCUUCUGCAUCUGCUAACAAUGUUGGAACUGUGGAAUUCCUGACAAUUGAAAACUGUACAAUUGAAAUGACAUACAUCCCUCUACCAGCUUAAAAUUCUUGUGUGCAUUGUGAAAAUUGAAAACUUUGAAGCUGUUUCAGUUAGUCUGGUGUUACUAUCUUUUAUUUUCGGCCUAUUGAGAUUAAACUGGAAAGAGUAUUAUAUCAUUUCCCUCUCAUUUCCCCUUGUUCUUCAUCACUGCUUUCUAUAAUACUAUUUGUUGGAACCUGAAACAGAUAUAGUGUCUCCAAAUAAAGUAAAAAAAUAAAAUACAAGCCUUCAUCUCACUUUUCCCUUAAAAGUUUUCCCCUUAGUUAAAUUGGAAAGCUUGGUUGAAUGUUGAUUGCUUACUUGUCUUGAGAAUAGAAUAGGUCGUGUCUUAUCUUUGGAGUUUCUUAUAGCUUUAAGUGGCAUCCGGAAUUUCUUGCUUAUUUGUUAUGUAAACAUUUUUUAAUAAACCAAGCCUUUUGGUUUGAAAGAAUCUAGGCGAUCCAAUCAGAUGAUACGAUAGAAAAGAAGGUUUAAUAUUUUUCUACUAAGAGUGGUGAGUCCUCUAUUUUUUUCCUUCACUUUAACAAGUUACUCCGUCCGUUCAUUUUUAUUUGUCACUGUUUGACUUGGCACACCCAUUAAGAAAACAAUUAUUGAUAUAGGUAUUUUACCAAACUGUCCCUAUUAAAUGAUCUUUAGUAUUAGGUCUUGGAAAAUGAUUUGGAGAAUAAGUAUUUAACGCUGAGGGUAAAACAUGAAAAAAAAUAAUUGUCUUUUCUUGAUAUGUCAAAAUGAAUAUCUAUUUUAGGAAUAAGUGUCAAGUAAAAAUGAAUGGAGGGAGUAGAUUUUUCAUAGCAAAUGAGUAUAUGUGUACCAUGUGUGCUAUAGCAUAUAUAUUUACUUCAAGAAAAUACUUUCCAUUAUUGAUGUAUCCUGUGAGAUCAACUUUAAGGUAAUAUGCCUAUGUAAUAAUGUAGGUGCAGACAAAAUUUGGUAAAUUUUUUGAAGUAGGACCUCAGUCCUCUUAUAAACUUCCUCGAGCACUAGGUGAAAGAGAUGGAAGUCUGCAUGAGUCUUUUGGCUAUUUAGACUCAACCCAGUGAGUUGUUGGCUAGGGAUACUAUUUCUAUUGGGCGAGUCCAUUAGGGCACGGUUGUGUAUACGAUGUUUCUUUUACGCGUCUAAGGAGGAUGAGAAGAAUUGUGAACCCCCUCUCCCCCCUGUUUGGCAUUUUUAACAACUGUAUGAUUUAUAUUUUGAUUAGCAAAGAUAAACAAAAUGGAGAUAAUGCCUAAAUCAUAUGGUUGGAGUAGUAUUAAAGGUUUAUUUGCUCAAGUUCCUAGUUCCUGCCGAAUUCCCUUUAUGUACAAGGACUUUCGAUCAAGAAAUUGGCACCAAAUUUUCUACUAUUACUUAAAAUGUUUUUCAUUGGAUACACGUUUUGGCAGUCAAUUACAGAAGGCAUUAAAUAUGACCUUGAAUUUUGAUCAUCUUUAGAGUGUGCAAGUAAUGGGCUCCUUUGAUGGUUGGAGUCAAGGAGAGCACUUAUCUCCAGAGUACACCGGCUCUUAUAUGAACUUUUCAGCUACAUUGUUCCUAAGACCUGGAAGGUACGUUUCUCUUCUGCCGCAGAGUAAAUCUGUCAUUGCAUUCUCUCUGAACUCUCAGGUGAAAUUUUUU
RNAcentral lists this long non-coding RNA (28663 nucleotides) under Solanum tuberosum (potato). RNAcentral describes it as "long non-coding RNA (STUB_LNC003185)". Lineage: Eukaryota; Viridiplantae; Streptophyta; Magnoliopsida; Solanales; Solanaceae. The record is from RNAcentral.